This is a long non-coding RNA of Lates calcarifer (barramundi perch), 2053 nucleotides long. RefSeq lists it as uncharacterized. The transcript has 5 exons. The record is from RefSeq and is a predicted model, not a curated record. Lineage: Eukaryota; Metazoa; Chordata; Actinopteri; Centropomidae.
GCGGCUAACGAGCUACCUACUUAGCGGACGGCGUUAGCAUUAGAAUCAGCUGCCAGCUCCACUGUUAGCAUUAGCCUCCUCCUAUAGUGUUGUCCUUUACAUUCUUUUGUUGCUUCUGUGAGCAGAUAUUAAAUGUGGGUCACUAAUGAGAACAGAUAGUAACACAGUGGUUGUCUGUUUACAGCUCUUGCCGUCACUCCGCGUGUCUCCGCAGUUGUGUGACCAUGCGGACUCGUUUUGUGUCUUUGUUGACAUUUCUGUGUGUAUUAGUUGGUUUGAGUCAGUUCCUAGUCCUUCUGUGUCUCUUAAUGGCGCUUGAAUAUAACGCUGUGAUGACGUGUGUCUCUGUUUACAUGGUGUGUUGUCCCUGGCCGUGACCUUUGUCGUCAUUACUCGUGACCUUUGUCGUCAUAUGCUGCGACCGCAGAGCAGAGCAGAGCCGCGGAGACGUCGUUGUUUUGGUUUGUUAGCACUGAGAGAAGGUUAAUUACUGAAGAAGUCUGGAGGCUAAACCGAGCUUUAGAGCUGUUUUGUCGAACACAGGUGAGGUUGGACACUGCGGCUAACGAGCUACCUACUUAGCGGACGGCGUUAGCAUUAGAAUCAGCUGCCAGCUCCACUGUUAGCAUUAGCCUCCUCCUAUAGUGUUGUCCUUUACAUUCUUUUGUUGCUUCUGUGAGCAGAUAUUAAAUGUGGGUCACUAAUGAGAACAGAUAGUAACACAGUGGUUGUCUGUUUACAGCUCUUGCCGUCACUCCGCGUGUCUCCGCAGUUGUGUGACCAUGCGGACUCGUUUUGUGUCUUUGUUGACAUUUCUGUGUGUAUUAGUUGGUUUGAGUCAGUUCCUAGUCCUUCUGUGUCUCUUAAUGGCGCUUGAAUAUAACGCUGUGAUGACGUGUGUCUCUGUUUACAUGGUGUGUUGUCCCUGGCCGUGACCUUUGUCGUCAUUACUCGUGACCCGUGUCGUCAUAUGCUGCGACCGCAGAGCAGAGCCGCGGAGACGUCGUUGUUUUGGUUUGUUAGCACUGAGAGAAGGUUAAUUACUGAAGAAGUCUGGAGGCUAAACCGAGCUUUAGAGCUGUUUUGUCGAACACAGGUGUCACCACUUCAUCCAUGACUCCAGAGACCAGAUGAGACCAGGACAGAGUCUUCCAGGUGAACUCACAGAAACAGCUGGAUCCAGUGGAGCUGAAGGAGGAGGAGGCGACGGCAGCAGCUGAAGGUCUGGACCUGAAGAGGAUGAAAGAAAAACAGAGUUAUUGAGCUGAUAAUCACAGACUGAUGCAAGUAAAGCUGUUUGGUUUUAUUCACUCAGUUUCUAACAGUGUGAUGUAGUUGUCCUCAUGUGCUCACUCAGUACAUUAGCUUGGUUUGUAGAGAUAUAAAGACUGUGACCGGAAAUGUUUAACGUCUUUACACUGUCAUGAUUUUCCUCUGAAAGAAGAGCAGCUUUUACCUCUAGAUGAUUCUUCAACUGAAGUUUGUAACUCAGACACUGGUUGGUUUGUGGUAUUCUUUGAGUAUUUUACUUUUUUAGUCUUUGACAGUUUGAACUUCAAUACCCAGAAAUCCUCUGUGCUUUUGGUUCUGUGAUUUGAAAGUUGCUGAUGUUUGUUGUUUCUGAAUUUUCUCUUCAGGACUCAGAGUUGAACAUCAGCUGAUGGAGAGAAGAGACAUGAAAACAUUUCCAGAAGGUCAGUGUUUAUUGUUUUCAGUCUGACUCUGUCAUUAUCUCAGCUGCAAUAACAUAAUCCACUUUAAUAAUAAUUAUCAGUAUUUUUUCACUAUGUCACUGCAAAAAGAAUUGGUAUGAAACUCUUAAAUGUGUGUCUCCUGUGUAGAGUCAGACUGAAAACAAUAAACACUGACCUUCUGGAAAUGUUUUCAUGUCUCUUCUCUCCAUCAGCUGAUGUUCAACUCUGCUGAUUUUUGUUGUCUUUCUCUUCAGGACUCAGCCUUGAACAUCAAACCAAAAGCACAGAGGGUUUCUGGGUAUUGAAGUUCAAACUGUCAAAGAGUAAAAAAGUAAAAUACACCAAAUCCACGAAAAAAC